Durio zibethinus is the source of this 1269-nucleotide non-coding RNA. The record is from RefSeq and is a predicted model, not a curated record. Lineage: Eukaryota; Viridiplantae; Streptophyta; Magnoliopsida; Malvales; Malvaceae.
ACAAGAUGAGCUUGAUAUGCUACAGGAUGAAAAUGAAAGUUUAAUUGAAAAGUUAUCUUCAAAUGAACGGGCAUAAUCUAUCUGAAUACUGGCAUUUGGAUAUAACUUUUGCAACACCAUUUUCUCCCAAAAACUCUGAUGUAAUUAGGUUAGCCAACUAAGUGCUUUGGCCUACGGAAAAUGUUAAUAAUAGUCUUAUACUGUUAUUUUUGCAUGAUAUUUGCCUUCCCAGCUUCAACUUGCAGAGGAGAGGUGUGAGGAAGCAGAAGCAAGAGCUCAGCAGCUUGAGAAACAGGUGAACUUUUCUCAGUUUAAAGAAAACUAAACAAGAGAAAUGUAAAUGAACUUUAUACCGCUCCAGCAAGCAAAAUUAUGUAUUUGUUUACUUGAUUCAUAACAUGUUCAAUAUAGAUUGCUAAUCUUGGAGAAGGUGUAACUUUAGAAGCACGUCUUUUAAGCAGGCAAGUUUCAUGGCUUACAAGAAUUUAAUGUUAUAUUGUGAUUUAUUUUUCCUUUUUCUUAUGCGCUAUUUGUCUUCCUCUUCAGAAAGGAGGCAGCCCUGCAGGAAAGGGAGGUUUGUACUUCUAAAGAGUGCCACUCUUUUCUUGUCUCAAACUAAUCUGCAUGUGUUAUCAGUCUCAUUAUGCAUGGAAAAUUACAUAAUACUCGAUAACUAUGAGCCUUAAAAGACAUUCUUUUGUCUUGUAAGUGUGUGUUUACUGAGUUUAUUUAUGCUUAUUUCUGCAUCUUUUUAUGCAUCUCUCUUUGUGAGAUGGUACUGAUUUCAUGCAUAGAGAGGUUUAUUAUAUACACCUGAAGCAGGCAUGUGCAUGAAAUUUUUAGCAUAAAUUUUAAAAUGAGAAUCUGAUAUGUAAAAAUAAAUGCCGUCUCAACAGUCAAUAGACACUAAGCACAGAAGUUGGUGUUUGCUUUAGAUCUGUAGGAAGGAUUGCCAGAGGUCAUGCUUUAUUCAUUCUUAACACCUUCAAUAGUUUCAUUGCUUUUGUAGAUCUAGCUAGUCCUGCUUUGUUGCUUAUAACUGACUUCUUUUUGCAAAAAUCAUUGUGCUACUUUAAUUCUUUUACUUUUACAUUUUAGUCUGGACAUGGUUUAUGAACUGCAGCUGAGUAGCAUAUGACAUUGUUCUUCUUGCAGGCUGCUUUAAGAACUGCAACGCAAACUCAUGGUGGUAUACCCGAACAGAUUGCUUCUCUUCGGACAGAGGCUGAGGUAUUUUGAAAUUUUAUGUUGUAUGCUCUGGCUUUUUCU